AAAGUAUAACAUAGGGACCAAAAGUGCUAUAGGAGUACAGAAGACACAGGACUUCAUCCUAACUGGGGUGAUUCAGGGAACCAAUAUAGUGGAAGCAACAUGUGAUUUGAGUCUUAGAGAAAGAAUAGGAUUUCAACAGAAAAGCAGAACAGGAAAGAACAUCCCAAGCAUGGAGGCCAACAAAAAGGUACGGAGGCAUUUAAAUAAAACUCUACCUGUUUCUGAUGUUGAACCAGUUGACAAAGCCAAGGACUUGGGUUCUAUCAGAAUUAUCUAAGAACCUCUACAAAUGAUUUGGAACCAGAGAAGCAGAGUCCUUCAGAGCUGUCCUGAAUGAAGUCUAGUCCAGAAUGUACAAGAUAUCCAGGGACCAUACACCUACAUAAACAUCUGGGAUCCAAAAUGUACUGAUUAAAUGGAUAUUGGAAUGGGGAGACUUGAUAUUAGUUGAUGAUCAUUGUUGUAUUGCUUUAGCCUUUUGUUUCAGUGUUUCUAUUGGUGUUUUAAGUAUUCUUGGUUAUGUUGAUGACAUGUAAAUAUUCCUUCUAAAAAAUGAUUGUGAGUCCUCUAGUUUGACCUGUAACCUAAAUAAAUUCUGCUUAUGAAUAUAAGAAAAAUCUUCU
This 623-nucleotide long non-coding RNA is filed under the name Monodelphis domestica (gray short-tailed opossum). Its description in RNAcentral is "lncRNA (ENSMODG00000040881.1)". The record is from RNAcentral. Lineage: Eukaryota; Metazoa; Chordata; Mammalia; Didelphimorphia; Didelphidae.